UUUUCCCUCAAUUUUCCAAAAUCUAAAUUUUACAAAUUCCAUUCAAAAUUUAUGAAUAAUCUUAGUAACUACUCUGAGUUCUCUCAAAGCAUGAACCCUAUAACGGUUUCUUCUCCUUUCUUCUCCAGAGAUUGCCACACCUUCUCUAGAGAUAUAUGAAGGCUUCUGAGCUCACUAACUGAUAUACAAAGCCCUAGUCUAACUUCCUCUUGCUCACUCUUAGUUCAGCCCCUCCCGUUGCUUCCACUCUCGUUCACUCUUAGCUUAGUCCGUCAUUCACUGUUGUUGGCUUCACCCAUCUUGCCUGAGUCCCUUCUUACCAUUACUCUCCGUCGCCGAUAGUCCAUGCCACCGUCUCGCCGUGAGUCCCUUUCGUAAUCACUCUGGCUCUCAUUCGCUCUCGCUAUUACUGCUUGUGUCCAUCAGUCCCCCUCGGCGUCACUCCCUCUAGAGUUGGCAUUGUAAGUCACGGUCACAGGGUUGCUUCAUCUGGUAAUAGCUUCUCUCAUAGUUCAUUCAUAAAACCCUAAAAUUGGAAGAUCGGAAAACCCUAAUUUAAGGUAUGUUUCGGUGAAAUUUUUUUUUCUCAUUAUGUUUUUGUUGGAGUUUUUUUAAGACUGUGGAAAAUAGGGUAAUGUGAGUACUUGAAGGCUAUGCUCUCUGUUUAAUUAGUAUACAUUAGAUUGAAAGUUUUAUAGGGAUAGUAGACCCUGAAAAAAGGAUUCUCGAUCUUGUUAAUGAAGAUGAUGAUUCUAUUCAAAAGCAUGUAUUUUAAUUCGAAAUAGUUAUUACCAUUGCUGAAGUUUGAAUGAAAGAGAUACCCUUCCUCUACUUCCUUUUUCCCAGCGCAGAGUGGACUCUCAGAAACAAAUGCCGCACUGGAAUUUGCGGUGAACUCCCUUCUAGUAAGCAUUUUUUUUUUACUUAAAAAGUGUAAGGCAAGAUUUAUCCUCAUCAUUUGAAACUUUUAAUGUGUUUGUUACUUUUUCUAUCAUCUAUUUAAUUAUACUUGGGACUGCACAUUCUUUGAGUUUAAUGAUCUAAAAAACAAAGUAUGUUUCUUCAAGCUUCGUUCUUUUAUGGAUUUCUUUGAAUUUCUUUUGGAGUAAUGAGAGGGUGACAUUUACAUUCAUUUGAUACAAUAUUGGUCAUAUAAAAGAACUUUGAUUUGGUGAAAUUAUGGCAUCAAAAUGGGAUUGUUGUAAUUACUUCAUGGCCCCUCUUCAUCUCCAUUUAUUAAGUGUAAGCAUUUCACUUUCACACUUUGGAUUUUCUUCAUCUUCUUUCUUUAAUAAAUUAAGGAUUAUGGAAUCAUGGAUCAUUCUUCUCUUGUCAGUUAAAUUUAUCAUUCUUCUAUUUGUCAAUUCUCUAUUUGAUUCUUCUUAAAAGUUAAGUUUAAAUGGUUGUGUUUUAUAUAUAAUCUGUAAUUCUAUUUUGUUCUGUUAAGAGUUUCAAAGAGGUAAUGUACAAGUUAUGCUUUUGAAAUUUGAAUAUAGCUGAAACAUGUUAAAAAUCCCAUAUUUAAGAUAUCUCAAAGUUGUCAUGAGAUUCAAUGUAAGGGAAGAAAUGGGAAGAAACACAAAUGUUUGCAUUGUGACAUGGAUUGUAUGAUCCUAGUAGAAGUAUGAAAUAUGUGUGAAGAACUUUCUUUAAAUCACUACCAGUACUUAGGCAUUCAAAUAAUGAUUGAUGUUCUCACUUUCCAUAUGGUUUCAUUGUUUAGAUAAAAUUUGUACAACUUAUAAUCAAAUGAGUAAUCAAACAUAUUAUUAUUAUUAUAUUACACAUGAUGGGUAAUUCUAAAUGUUUAGGUAUCAUUCAUGAUAUAUAUGUAGGCAUGGAAUGUUUCCACUUUUGAGUGCUUGGGUAGAUGGUCCUGAAUCUGUAACUCAGUGUCCAAUACGUCCUGGUGAAAGGUAUACCUAUAGAUAUAAUAUAACACGACAAGAAGGUACCCUUUGGUGGCAUUCACACUCUUUUUUUCUACGAUCAACUAUUUAUGGGACUCUCAUCAUUCGCCCUUGAAAAGGAAACACCCUUUUCCUUCAUUUUACCAAGAUGUCCCCCUAUUGAUUGAUGUAUACUACAAGAAAUAUUGGAAUUAUAUAUGGACUAUUAUAUAGUCAUGUCGGUAUCCAGGUGGAAGAUAAUAUAUCUAUUCUAUGCUUAGAUUUAUGAUGAAUGCGGUUUGAGAUUGCAGAGAGCUGGUGGAGAAUUUGAAUGCAUCAAAUGGUCAAGUAAAUUUCUUUUUGGUAAUAUUUUACAUUCCAACAUUUUAUAUGUACCAAUAUUUUACCCUCCACUUAAUACUUUUUUAUAUAUCAGCUUUUCUCAGCUUUGCAAUUAAUAUUAUCUACACAUUUAUAUUGUAAUUAGUUUAUUAAUUUGAUUUAUGUUACUGGUUUGAUUUUGAACCCAGUAAGUUAUACAUAUUAUACUAUUUGCCAAAGAAAUUAAUUUUAAUGUUUGAAUACUAAAUUAGAAAUUAAUGUGAUUAAAUAAUUGAUUAAUUAUUGAUCAAAUGUUAUUACAUUAUUUGUUAGCUCUAAAAAUAUAAAUAAUGUGAAGAUGCAAUAUUAGAAAAUAUUUUAGUUAUGACAAAAGCUUUGGACUUAGUCAAAGUUGUUUUGAUUUUGAUUAUGGUGAAGAAAGUCCGUAUAGUUUGAUUGUCUAUGUAGACCUACAUAAUUAUCAUACUAUAAUAUUACGGUGGAAAAGGACGAUUCAACGACUGAAUCGGUGAAACAGUGUCAAGAUUGUUGGACUCGUGAAAGCUUAAACCGUA
This 2785-nucleotide small RNA is filed under the name Vigna angularis var. angularis. RNAcentral describes it as "Non-protein coding transcript". The record is from RNAcentral. Lineage: Eukaryota; Viridiplantae; Streptophyta; Magnoliopsida; Fabales; Fabaceae.